UAAAUUUUUACCAGUAUUAGUUAUAUAGGUGGAUGUCCCAGAAUCGGGAUACCACAUGACAACUGAAUUAGUUGCAGCCAGAUUUGCAGAAGGAUUAGCGUCGCUCAAAUUCAGAUCUAUCGGGAUUAAUUUUCGGUUGUGAUUAAGAGGAAAUCUCUGAAAGUUUACUCUGCUGUAGCAAUUUAGAGCCCCGUGCCCUUUCCGAUUGCAUAUUUGACACGGGUAAGCUUUUGCAUUUUCUGAUUUGUUGUGCUUAGAGACCGCGUUGACUUCGACGAUGUCCGACGAUGAUGAAUCUUGCAGAUCAUAAUCCAUCAAUAGGUUGUUGAAGGUUGCUAAAUGUCCUUUUGUGGUCGAAGCGGGUUGUAAUGGAGGUAACAAAUUGUUUGUACUCGCUUCCUAAUCCACCCAAUGCUAUUAGGAUAAUCUGUGAUUCUUUCAUCUUUUUGCCUGCUGAUGCCAAUCUAUCUCUAAUGAUGCAUAUAUUCUUGAUAUAUUGAACCAUCGUCUAUGUACCUUUUCGAAUGCUUUGUAGUUGCAUCCGAAGGUGGAGUAGACAUGUCUCCGAGUCAGAGCCAUGUAUUUGCCUUAGACAUUUCCAGACCUCAUGCGACGUGGUGAGAGCAGCGACCUAUGGCAAGAUCAUCGGAGAUAUUGACGUCAAGAUCCAGCUAAGGAUGAUCUGGUCCUGCUGUUCAGCGAAAGAACCUCGGGCAAAGGAUUUUUCCUUCCACGUAUUUUAGGAGCUUGUAUCCUCGGACAAGAGCCGAGAAUUGAGCUCGCCAACGAAAGUAGUGUUCUCCUUCUAACUUCUAACAUCUCAUGUGUUUCGUGACGAUCGCCUUGCUUGAUGAUGCAUACAAAUCUUUGUCUCCGGUCUUCAUUGCAUCGGAAUUGGGUUCGAUUGCAGACCCUGGCGAAGAUACCAUAUCAAUUUUGGAAGUUAAUCACCCGAAUGUAAAACUAUCACCAAGAACUCUUAUCUGAUCAAUUGAUUUACAUGAGUAUUUAUAUUACAUCAAACUAAUACAAUGGUUUACAACAACUAAUGUUUUAGUUAGUCAACUAACACAAUCGUUAAAUAAUUAAAGGUUGUAAGAUAUUAUUCACAGAAUCAACAAUUUGAUGUUUAUGAAAAGGUAUUUUCUCUUUCAUAAUUGAUUAAGAUAACUUGAUGUAUUUUUUCAAU
RNAcentral lists this long non-coding RNA (1189 nucleotides) under Zostera marina. RNAcentral describes it as "long non-coding RNA (ZMAR_LNC001185)". The record is from RNAcentral. Lineage: Eukaryota; Viridiplantae; Streptophyta; Magnoliopsida; Alismatales; Zosteraceae.